CCUAUCUCUUCUGUGGAAGGAGCCAGAUGUCCCCGAUGCCGUUCUCGACGAGCGGUGGCAGCCACCGCCUGAACAGUUUCAUGGACAGAUGGACGGACGCGGCGUGAGAGCGCAUAUCACUCGCACAUACUUUAUAUGAGUGUGCAACAGAGAGACCACAUGGACAUAGGCGGUUCAAUUAUGCACGCAAGAAUGUACAGGAAGGUGUCAGUGUUGUUGCGAGUACUAGCCAUGUCGAGUUGGAAGAAGAUGAAGAUGAAAACUCGCCAAGUGAAACGGACAUUUUGAAUGCAGUUUAUUGUGGCGUGCAAGACGAUGACUCAGACUGUGUUGUGGAUUUUCAAAAUGAAAAUGAAAUGCUCCUUAAAUCUUUUUGUACAUAGUGCAAUUAUAAUGAUAAAUGCGUUCAAUAGUUUUCAGAACAUGUUUCAUCAAACUAAACAAGUAACAUG
Molecule: long non-coding RNA, 452 nt
Organism: Dreissena polymorpha
Lineage: Eukaryota; Metazoa; Mollusca; Bivalvia; Myida; Dreissenidae
Exons: 2
Source: RefSeq, a predicted model, not a curated record